GAUGAACGCUGGCGGCGUGCCUAACACAUGCAAGUCGAGCGAUUUACUUCGGGAAAGAGCGGCGGACGGGUGAGUAACGCGUGGGUAACCUGCCCUGUACACACGGAUAACAUACUGAAAGGUAUGCUAAUACGGGAUAACAUAAGAGAGUCGCAUGGCUUUCUUAUCAAAGCUUUUGCGGUACAGGAUGGACCCGCGUCUGAUUAGCUAGUUGGUAAGGUAACGGCUUACCAAGGCGACGAUCAGUAGCCGACCUGAGAGGGUGAUCGGCCACAUUGGAACUGAGACACGGUCCAAACUCCUACGGGAGGCAGCAGUGGGGAAUAUUGCACAAUGGGCGAAAGCCUGAUGCAGCAACGCCGCGUGAGCGAUGAAGGCCUUCGGGUAGUAAAGCUCUGUCCUCAAGGAAGAUAAUGACGGUACUUGAGGAGGAAGCCCCGGCUAACUACAUGCCAGCCGCCGCCGUAA
This 468-nucleotide ribosomal RNA is filed under the name uncultured bacterium. Its description in RNAcentral is "partial 16S ribosomal RNA". It matches the Rfam family "Bacterial small subunit ribosomal RNA", at positions 28 to 523 of the family's 1533-position model. The record is from RNAcentral.